This 832-nucleotide unclassified non-coding RNA is filed under the name Hevea brasiliensis (rubber tree). Lineage: Eukaryota; Viridiplantae; Streptophyta; Magnoliopsida; Malpighiales; Euphorbiaceae. The record is from RNAcentral.
UGGUGAGGGUAAUGAGAAGGUGCAGGACCUCCUUUUGUUGGAUGUCACUCCUCUCUCUCUUGGUUUGGAAACUGCUGGUGGUGUUAUGACUGUAUUGAUUCCCAGGAACACCACCAUCCCCACCAAGAAGGAGCAGGUGUUCUCUACCUAUUCCGACAACCAGCCUGGCGUCUUGAUCCAGGUGUAUGAGGGAGAAAGAACAAGGACAAGGGAUAACAACUUGCUCGGUAAAUUCGAGCUCUCUGGCAUUCCUCCUGCUCCAAGGGGUGUACCACAGAUCACAGUGUGCUUUGACAUUGAUGCCAAUGGGAUCUUGAAUGUCUCCGCUGAAGACAAGACAACCGGACAGAAGAACAAGAUCACCAUCACCAAUGACAAGGGAAGACUUUCCAAGGAGGAGAUAGAAAAAAUGGUUCAAGAGGCAGAAAAAUACAAGUCUGAGGAUGAGGAACACAAGAAGAAGGUUGAGGCCAAGAACGCAUUGGAGAAUUAUGCAUACAACAUGAGGAACACAGUGAAGGAUGAGAAGAUCGGUGCCAAGCUUCCUCCAGCAGAUAAGAAGAAAAUAGAAGAUGCCAUAGAGUCGGCCAUACAAUGGUUGGACAGCAACCAGUUAGCUGAAGCUGAUGAGUUUGAGGACAAGAUGAAGGAAUUGGAGAGCAUCUGCAACCCCAUCAUUGCUAAGAUGUAUCAGGGUGCGGGAGGUGACAUGGGCGGUGGAAUGGAUGAUGAUGCACCUGCAGGUGGCAGCGGUGCUGGUCCGAAGAUUGAGGAAGUUGACUAAACAUGUUUCCUGGGGUUUCUCCCUUAUCUUAGUUGUUGUUGUUGGUUU